Long non-coding RNA from Cryptomeria japonica (Japanese cedar), 5648 nucleotides. RefSeq lists it as uncharacterized. NCBI's taxonomy places the organism in Eukaryota, Viridiplantae, Streptophyta, Pinopsida, Cupressales, Cupressaceae. The record is from RefSeq and is a predicted model, not a curated record. The transcript is spliced from 9 exons.
AAUGAGUAUCAAUCUUUGCUGUGCGCGAAUAUUAACUUGGAUUUCAAAAAUAUCUACGAUGAAUAUGCAUUAUUGGAAUACCCUAACUCACAUCUAUUUAAUCAAAUGUCUCAGUAGACAAAUUGAUUAGACGAAUUUAUGUAGUUAAUAUUUGUUUUUUAAAUUAAUAUUUCUUUCCUAUUGUGAUUGUAGUUGAUGAGACCAGAGAGAAGUUACUGCCGAUGAUAUUGAGGUGGGGGAUAAUAGCAUAUCCAUUUUCUGCUAGUCGGGAAGAAGCCGAACUGAGGAAGUCAGAAUUGGAGGAGUUCAACUUCAGAUCUCAAUCCAGCUUGGAGUUUAUUUUUCGGAAUUUGGAGCUGUUUCAAUCAAGGGCAAAGGAGGUGCGUCUUCGUGGAGAUAUAAAAUUUGUGUGCGUGGGUCCAAUUAACAAGAUGUUGGAGUUCCUGCCAGAGUUAAAGUGUGCCUUGGAAAAGCUAGGAAAGGUCGUCCAAGUCUUCUACGUUGGGGAAGGAGUCCAAAAUCCUGGACACAAAACGGUUGCUUUCCAAGAAGAAGAAAAAGAGUAUGAAAUCCUGAGAAAGAAAAUGUGUAGCAUCACAAGCCUCUCUUUGUGGAAUGUUUACAGGUUUUGGGAGCGCGUCAAAUGUUUAAGGGAUGAGUUGGGUAGGCAGGUUAUUGACGAAAGGACUAUGCAGGUAAGAAGUAUGGUAUUGGCUUUUUUUAGUGCAUGCGAAUGGAGAGAGAAGCCAUGGAUGCAAAGGGAGAAUGGAGAAGAAGUGGAUGAAAAGGGGAAGGGGAUAAGUAUAAUAGCAGUGGAUGAAAAUGGGGAGAUGAUAAAUGGGAGGGAAGAAGAAAUUGUGCAGCUGCUGUGCCAAGGUACUGAGGAGGAGGAGCGUCAUAAAUUCAUGGGUGAAAUUAAAGGUGAAGGAAUUUAGCAACGCCCUCCGUAGGAGAUGGUGAGAUGGGACAUUUCCUCCCAAAUCCCAUCCGCAUCAUGUUGAUAUUUGAUGCUUCUUCGAUGACUUUGACAGAUCAUGCUGAAGUUGCAUUCCAAAACUUCCAUUCAUCGCCAAGCUUUAGUUAACUUUUUAAUAAUUAUUCUAGAAAAUAAUGGAUGCUGUGUUUUUUUGUUUUUUUUUUGAGAUUUUUGUCCAUGCUAUAUCGCUGGAUUAUGGUAAAAAACUCUGUUUUGUAGUUAAUCUGCAAGUUCGAAAUAGCUGUGCGAUGCAUGAUUGUUGCUACGAUCUGAGGCUAUAGACAUUAUAAAUAAAUUGCCUCUUUAUUGUUUUUUAUUUUAAUCUGCAUUAAAAACUGUAUUGUUUAGAAAUAAAAACAGGGUACUCUGCCUUCUCCGAAUUCAAAUGUAUCAUUCAUUUAUUUUUAUGCCUGUUGAUAUUUGUUAAAGCUGUAAGCCCUUGCUGUCAUUCAUUUUCUCUGUUAUGAUUAUUUGAGUUUGUCAACUGAUUAAAAGAAAAAGGGUUCAGAUUUGAGUCUACACAUCAUCCACUGUUAGACUUCAUUAUCAUUUGCGCUUCAAAGGAGGAUCGAUUACAGAAGAAAGAUGCGACGCAUGCUUUUGCGUUAUUGAUCGUGAUUUACUCUCACACUCCAUACGUUAUCGAUGAAGUGUGUGUGAGAAGUAUGAAAUGUGCCAAAAAUGCUUUGAAUGCUAAAUAGCCAUGUUUUAUGUCGGGAGGUUGGACUUCCACUAUUCAGAGUUAUUACUUACGGUUAAAGUGAUGCUGUUAGCAAUUUAAAUAUUUAGGUUUAUUUUUUCAAUUUAUGAUUAGAUUUGAAGUUUAUUCUUUCUAUUUAUAGGUAGAUUAUCAAUUUUGUUACCUCAUUAAUUUUCUUCAUAGAGGCAAUUAGCGUGACAGUGAUAUGCUCAUGCUCUAAAAUGUUAGUUCGUAUUAUAUGUUUUUGUAUUUAAUUGUUUGUGGUUUAAUAAUUUAUAAUCUGGAUGUUAUUAAUAGAAUAGUGUUCUAAGUGAUUAAAAAGAAAUGGUUUUAUAAGUUCAUAUUUGGCAAUGAAAAUUGAAUUGGUGUAUACAAUCUUUUAUAAAAUUUCUUGAAAAAAAUCUUGGGGGAAAAUUGUUUAGUCCAAUGGAACAGAAUAUUGAAGUUCAAGAGUGGAGAAGAUAAGGAGACUUCUUUCAUCUGAUAUUGAAGAAUAACCAGGUUUUUAAAGCUAUUAUUAAGUUUAAGAAAGAGGGGAAGAUAAGGAGACUAUUUUUUUCUAAUAUUGAAAUAUAAUCAGGUAAAGACAGUCCAAAACAUAUAUUAAAUUUCAUGUUUUACAUUUUUUUAGGAGUAAAUGCUUUUGAUCUGAAGUUAUGAACUAUUAAGAUCACAAACAGAAGAUCAACAACAAUAUUUCAGAAAGAUUAAAAAAAUUUGAAUCUUGAUGACAAUAACCACAACACUACCAUUUAACCAUCACAUCAUAUAAACACAUAUUCUAUAUAAUUAUAUGUUUUUAUUUUCAUUUAUAAAAUCCAUAUAUUCUGACUGCUAUUUUAAAUUAUAUUUUGAUUUCUUUAUUUAUCAAGCUUGAAAAACUAUUCUGAUUCUCACAAUCAUUUAUGGCCCUUUCACCAGUCUUUAGACUUGUGAACUCUGAAAAUCAUAGACAGUUCUUUCCUAAUUCUGGCUGUAUGCCUCUCACACACACAAAAGACUAUAAGUAAAAUAUGCUUUGCAUUUAGUUAGAAGAAAGGGGAGGAAACAUCAGCUUAAAUUAUGACUUUUAAGACUUUUUUUUUUGAUGGAAGCUUUCAUGGUAUGUAUUGAUGAUUUCUCUCCCUUGAUAUUGAGGUGGUUAAUCUCAACAAACUGGAAUGGGAACGAAAAGGCACAGUGCCACUGAAUUGGAGAGGUUCAGAUCCGUGUGAGUAUCAUUGGGAUGAGGUUAACUGGACCAACUCACAAGUAAUCUCAUUGCAAGGCUUCUCCAUACCUUAAAACCCAUCAAUACGUUGAAGUUUUGAACUACUUAAGUUUUAGAGCUCAUAGCAUUUAUGAAAUACUGGAAUAUUUUGUUACCGGAAAUGAUGAACAAUAGGACAAGAGAAUUCUUAUAAUUAAGUGCAACAGGUCUUCUUAGUGGACUUGAAACACUGUAACUCCUAUAUAUUUCAUCGCAGAACUAAACCAACACUUUUGACAUAUGAAUAACUAUAGACAUAUUUAGGAUUGUACUUUAUGAUUUUGUAGAUAAUCCUUAUAUGGGCACUGCAGGGAUAUAUCAUACGAUAAGGACUUGACUGGAUCCAUUCCCAGCAGCUUGGGGAAUUUGAUUAAUCUGGAAUCCUGUAAGACAACACGUAUUUUAUGCAUCAGUAAACUAAUUGGACUUCAUAAAGAAUCCAAUAUUUAUUCAGCAUCAGAAAACAGCUUAGAACAUGUUCUUUGUGAUUGGUUGCAGUUUUUCAUCACGAUUUCCAAAUGAGCUGGCGAAUCUGCUAAAUCUGAAAUUUUGUAAGAUUGUUAGUUUGGUGUUAAAAGUUCUUGUAUUAUAUUUUUCUUUGAAUGUUCUCUACGCUUAUUUGGUUCGUGAUUGGUCCUACGAAGCACUUCAUUAAUGUUACGGCGAUCUUCUAUUCAGAGUCUUGAAUUCAAAUGGUUUUACUGGCCCUCUUCCCCCUGCUCUGGGUAAUUUAUCACAACUUCAUUGGCUGGAUCUAGCUUUUAAUCAGCUUAGUGGUUCUCUUUCAGUCUCGAAUAUAAAUGAAAUUGGAUUAGACAAACUUUAUGAUGCUAGAAAAUUGUAAGUGUUUUGCCUAUGCAGCUUAGUUUUUAGCCACUACAGACCAAUUUUUACCACCGACCUAAGAAUAAUAUGAUAGUAAAUGUUUUGUUUUGUUGCCUGAACAGGAAUAGGCUAACGGGCACAAUUUUAGCAGACCUUUUUCAUUCCAUGAUAAAGCCAAGUCAUCUGAGAGCAAAUCAAGAUCACUAUUUUUAAAUUCUUAUUGUGGAGAAUAUGUGCUAAAAAACUAUUGUACUAGUCUGAAUGCUUCUUGCUGCUAUUGUGGGCAGACUUCUUGAUGGAAAGGCUUUCACUGGCGAAAUCCCCCAUACUUUGGAUCUGGUAGAAUCAUUGGAGGGGUUGUGAGUAUACAUAUGUUUGUAACAGAUGAAUCUAUAACAUUAGGAUUUUCAAUUUAUGUUAUUUACAGGGGGCCUCAGGAAUUCUUUAAGCGGUUCAAUUUCUUCUAACAUCAGAAAUUAGAUCAGUGAUUUGGAAGUGUGAGGAGUCUUAGAUCUCAUAUAGUUAUUUUUAUUUGUUUCUUUUUAUAAGGUGCUAAUAAGAAUUAGGUAAGAACAAAUUGACAGACCACUGGGGAAUGAGGACAAUUCUUUGUAAAAAUGCCUUGGAUUUGGAAGUCGGUUUUGAGUUGCUAUAAAGCUCUGUCCAUCUGCUUUGGAUAAACGCAGUUACAUUCAUUGUUAGUAGGAGAUUAAGUCAUCUCCAAUUCAGCACACCUUUGUUGCUUUACCUAUGAAUUGUGGGCCCUUCAUGCUCUAGACAAUGGCACUGAUUUUGGAUAAUUUAGUGUUGGUCACGGUGUUAAGAUAGGGUUUUAGCUUAUGUGACUUAAAAGUUUAAAGUUAUUGUUUUAGUUUUUGGAUAGUUAUGACAAUUGCUUUAUAUGUACAAAGAUUAAAAAUGAUUAUUUAGAAAUGUGUUUCAACAAUUAUAAAUUAAAAAAAUAUACACAACUCUAUCAAUUAAUAUUUUUUAUUAUAAAUAUAUAAAAAAAUAAAAUAAAAAAUUAUCACCUUAUUGUGUUUUUUUUUCACAUGUUAGGGAUUUAUGCUGGCAUGCACAGGAGAUUUAUUAGCACUGUAAUUUAAGACCUGCUACGAUAGCAAUCGAUGAAAUUCCACCUAUUCUUUACUCUCUGUCAGAGUCUGCUCCAUUGUUUGAUGGAACCACAGGAAUCUACAAUAAUUUGGCCUGCCCCUAUGCUCAACGUGUUUGAACUUUGAGCUGCCAGAAACUAUGAGACCUGGCUGAUAUUUAGACGUCUCCAAUAGACCUGCAGGACCGACCCACAUGGUACAAGAAAAAGGUUUACCCUCCUAACAAGGAUACGGCAAAAAAGGAGGCUGCAAAUGAGUUGCUAAAGUACAGAGAGACUUUUUAAAAACAGAGCACACGGCAUUAGCCAAGCCAGAACCUGAGAUACCUGAAUCACUUGCUAUGGAGAAUGUUUCCUGCAAAUAUAGAUAAGCUUAAGAUAUCCUAUCUUGAACAGAUCAUGAUGAAUUGACCAUGGCAGCCUCUACGCUUGAUUAUCUGGUUGAUCUUGCAUGUGCUCCUUUUUUUGAAAGAGUCUAUUUUGCGUUUCUCAGACAUAAGAACUAGGACAUCACAAUAUGCAGGCCAAAGCUAUUGCAAUGGAGUCAAGCAAGAAGCGCAAAAAGUGGAUGCAUAUGGAAAAACAAGACAUGAUCCAAAGCAAAUUCUUGAAAAAUACAAGAGAUCUACGGUAUCUCGUGUGUAAUACCAAAAUGUGUUUUAUACCUUCUUGCUGUUGAUCCCUUUGUAUACCCUACUAACAAGAUACAUGCAAGAACAAAGAGGUUUUUUAUUUACCUUACAGUUUAAUCCUCUACCAAUUUAUAUUGGUUGAUUUUUUUUUA